This 465-nucleotide ribosomal RNA is filed under the name Vreelandella stevensii. RNAcentral describes it as "partial 16S ribosomal RNA". It matches the Rfam family "Bacterial small subunit ribosomal RNA", at positions 338 to 795 of the family's 1533-position model. The record is from RNAcentral. Lineage: Bacteria; Pseudomonadati; Pseudomonadota; Gammaproteobacteria; Oceanospirillales; Halomonadaceae.
CCUACGGGUGGCUGCAGUGGGGAAUAUUGGACAAUGGGCGAAAGCCUGAUCCAGCCAUGCCGCGUGUGUGAAGAAGGCCUUCGGGUUGUAAAGCACUUUCAGUGGGGAAGAAAGCCUUGGGGCUAAUACCCUCGAGGAAGGACAUCACCCACAGAAGAAGCACCGGCUAACUCCGUGCCAGCAGCCGCGGUAAUACGGAGGGUGCGAGCGUUAAUCGGAAUUACUGGGCGUAAAGCGCGCGUAGGCGGUCUGAUAAGCCGGUUGUGAAAGCCCCGGGCUCAACCUGGGAACGGCAUCCGGAACGGUCAGGCUAGAGUGCAGGAGAGGAAGGUAGAAUUCCCGGUGUAGCGGUGAAAUGCGUAGAGAUCGGGAGGAAUACCAGUGGAGAAGGCGGCCUUCUGGACUGACACUGACGCUGAGGUGCGAAAGCGUGGGUAGCAAACAGGAUUAGAUACCCCAGUAGUC